UGGGGAAUAUUGGACAAUGGGGGCAACCCUGAUCCAGCAAUGCCGCGUGUGUGAAGAAGGUUUUCGGAUUGUAAAGCACUUUCGGCGGGGACGAUGAUGACGGUACCCGCAGAAGAAGCCCCGGCUAACUUCGUGCCAGCAGCCGCGGUAAUACGAAGGGGGCUAGCGUUGCUCGGAAUGACUGGGCGUAAAGGGCGUGUAGGCGGUUUGUACAGUCAGAUGUGAAAUCCCCGGGCUUAACCUGGGAGCUGCAUUUGAUACGUGCAGACUAGAGUGUGAGAGAGGGUUGUGGAAUUCCCAGUGUAGAGGUGAAAUUCGUAGAUAUUGGGAAGAACACCGGUGGCGAAGGCGGCAACCUGGCUCAUGACUGACGCUGAGGCGCGAAAGCGUGGGGAGCAAACAGGAUUAGAUACCCUGGUAGUCCACGCUGUAAACGAUGUGUGCUGGAUGUUGGGCAACUUAGUUGUUCAGUGUCGUAGCUAACGCGAUAAGCACACCGCCUGGGGAGUACGGCCGCAAGGUUGAAACUCAAAGUGAAUU
This 540-nucleotide ribosomal RNA is filed under the name uncultured bacterium. RNAcentral describes it as "partial 16S ribosomal RNA". It matches the Rfam family "Bacterial small subunit ribosomal RNA", at positions 355 to 911 of the family's 1533-position model. The record is from RNAcentral.